UUCAAAAAGUAGAACAUUUUGUAUCAGUUUUACAUCAGUCAAAAAUGGAAUAACAAAAAUAAGGUCAUGGUCUUCAUGUUCAAUCAUCGGCAGUUGCGAGUUGCAGAGACAAAAGCUCUUCUUCAGGUAUAACUCUAAUAUGGCAAUCUGAUCUGGGAUAAGCUGCGCAUAGUAAUGCAUAACCUCUCUCCACAACAUCAUCACUUAGCAUACCUUCACUUUGAUCCACAUUCCCACUUAGAAGCUUUGCUGGACAAGUCAUGCACACUCCUAGCUUGCAGUCGUAUGGUACGGACAUGCCAACGUCAAUUGCCUUUGACAAGAUUGUCUCAUCAGGUUCAACUUCCAGCUCUGUAGUUUUACCUUCAUGUUCUACUAUUACUUUAUAAGCUCGAACUACACUCGAUACUCGUCGGUUUUCUCUUCUCCUGACUGACCAAGGACUGUUUAGCUUAAUAGCAGCAAGAUUGG
RNAcentral lists this unclassified non-coding RNA (471 nucleotides) under Hevea brasiliensis (rubber tree). The record is from RNAcentral. Lineage: Eukaryota; Viridiplantae; Streptophyta; Magnoliopsida; Malpighiales; Euphorbiaceae.